RNAcentral lists this ribosomal RNA (727 nucleotides) under uncultured marine bacterium. Its description in RNAcentral is "bacterial SSU rRNA". It matches the Rfam family "Bacterial small subunit ribosomal RNA", at positions 55 to 780 of the family's 1533-position model. The record is from RNAcentral.
AUGCAGUCGAGGGGUAACAGGGAAGCUUGCUUCCGCUGACGACCGGCGCACGGGUGCGUAACGCGUAUGCAACCUACCUCUUACAGGGGAAUAGCCCGAAGAAAUUCGGAUUAAUACCCCAUAGUAUUACAGAUUCGCAUGAUGAAGUAAUUAAAGAUUUAUCGGUAAGAGAUGGGCAUGCGUCUGAUUAGAUUGUUGGUGAGGUAACGGCUCACCAAGUCGACGAUCAGUAGGGGUUCUGAGAGGAAGAUCCCCCACACUGGCACUGAGAUACGGGCCAGACUCCUACGGGAGGCAGCAGUAGGGAAUAUUGGUCAAUGGAGGCAACUCUGAACCAGCCAUGCCGCGUGUAGGAAGAAUGCCUUCUGGGUUGUAAACUACUUUUAUAUAGGAAGAAAACGCCAUGCGUGGUAAUAUGACGGUACUAUAUGAAUAAGCACCGGCUAACUCCGUGCCAGCAGCCGCGGUAAUACGGAGGGUGCAAGCGUUGUCCGGAUUUAUUGGGUUUAAAGGGUGCGUAGGCGGUUUAUUAAGUCGGAGUUGAAAUCCCACAGCUUAACUGUGGAACUGGCUCCGAUACUGGUUAACUUGAGUAUGGUUGAGGUAGGCGGAAUUUAAGAUGUAGCGGUGAAAUGCAUAGAUAUCUUAAAGAACACCAAUUGCGUAGGCAGCUUACUGGACCAUAACUGACGCUGAGGCACGAAAGCGUGGGUAGCGAACAGGAUUA